CCCUGUGUAGCUCAGUUGGUAUAGCAUGGCGCUUGCAAUGCCAGGGUUUUAGGGUUCGUUUACCACAGGGA
Salmo salar (Atlantic salmon) is the source of this 71-nucleotide non-coding RNA. Lineage: Eukaryota; Metazoa; Chordata; Actinopteri; Salmoniformes; Salmonidae. The record is from Rfam.